CAGAAGUGACUCUAUCAGAGCACUCCCUGAGUUCCCAGGAGGUAAGCUCCCAGAAAAUGGAGCUCUGCAUGAGGGUGUCAUUGAAUCACCCUUUGCUAAGGAAAUUAGGCUUAUG
RNAcentral lists this small RNA (115 nucleotides) under Dasypus novemcinctus (nine-banded armadillo). RNAcentral describes it as "Nuclear RNase P (ENSDNOG00000029592.1)". The record is from RNAcentral. Lineage: Eukaryota; Metazoa; Chordata; Mammalia; Cingulata; Dasypodidae.